RNAcentral lists this ribosomal RNA (253 nucleotides) under uncultured bacterium. RNAcentral describes it as "partial 16S ribosomal RNA". It matches the Rfam family "Bacterial small subunit ribosomal RNA", at positions 524 to 776 of the family's 1533-position model. The record is from RNAcentral.
GACGGAGGAUGCAAGCGUUAUCCGGAAUGAUUGGGCGUAAAGCGUCUGCAGGUGGCAGUUCAAGUCUGCUGUCAAAGACCGGGGCUUAACUUCGGAAAGGCAGUGGAUACGGGCUGGCUAGAGGCAGGCAGGGGAGAACGGAAUUCCCGGUGUAGCGGUGAAAUGCGCAGAUAUCAGGAGGAACACCGGUGGCGAAGGCGGGACUCUGGGCCGAUACUGACGCUGAGGAGCGAAAGCGUGGGGAGCGAACAGG